AGCGUGGGGAGGACGGCGAUCGUCCCUCGAUGUUGAUUGCAGGUCUUUGUGAACAAAUUAUGUUAUUAACAAGUGCAAAUAAAUCGCUCGAGCAUAUGGCGAGAAAACGAUGGUUUUUUUUUUUUGUUUUCUUAACGUCUCGCCGUCUUAGUCGGCAAUUAGGAAACUUUGUCCCGGUCUACUAAACAUAUAUAUAUAUAUAUAUAAUAUUGUAACGCUAAAAUGACGCAAACGUCUUCAGACCUACUCCUCCCCUCGCGGUAAAGGUCAGGUUGAUUUCCGACAUCGACCUAUGCCAGGGCGGCGGCUAUUUUUACGCGUGAAAUCGCGAGUCGAAUAACAAAAUGUGAUAGUUUUAUUUUUACGAUUUCCGUUUCCCCCGGAAAAACAAAAAUAACUGAUUGACAAUUUCAUCGACCAAUAAUAAUUGACGCUCCGAACGUUACGACACGUUACGACGGUAUAUGAUUUUCAAAUAUCUGAGUAUAACUACUUUAUCGGUGGAUUGGGCUUAGAUAAAAAAAAUCGUACCUUGUAUCUUGUGCGACAGAUACAUUCAUGGGAAGUAUCGAAAAAUCUACCGUAUCGCUAUACUGAAAUCGGCGUAUCUAAAGUGUCUAAAGGUUCUCGAGCACAUUAGUGCCCGAAUAAGGGCCAACCAGCAGUGCCGAUUUCCUCGCUGGCUUUUAGAAAAACAUUUAAAACAACGUUUAACGUGAUUGUACGAAAACGAGAGGAGGCGUUGUGAAUCGCGAAAAUAUGUUUGUAUCGAUUCAGAUACUGACUGCGGGGAAAAUUUAAUUCGUAUUAUAAUUUUAUUGUAUCGAGUAUAAUAUCUACUAUCCGGUAUUAAUCGUAUCAUAAUAUCUUGAGAUACUGAAAAUCAAUUAUCGAGUACCUAUUUAGAUAAUUCAUUUAACUAUACCCGUACACUAAACGUACUUUCAAUACUAAAAUUUUUAGGGGGAUUACGAGUAUGUGAAGUAUCACAAUAUCAAAAUGCUUAAAGUCUCGCUGUUCUCAUCAUUACGUUUGAAUGCAAAUUUGCUAUUAUGCCGUGCGUGUUUGUGAGGCAGUGACAACAAAUGCGUGUCGCACAGGUACACAGCGUAGUCUAAACACUUACCGGACUUUCCGCGAUUUUGUAUACGACA
Cinara cedri is the source of this 1154-nucleotide non-coding RNA. NCBI's taxonomy places the organism in Eukaryota, Metazoa, Arthropoda, Insecta, Hemiptera, Aphididae. The record is from the annotation of a GenBank genome assembly.